CUGAAGUCCCCUGCCGCCACCAUGCCCAAAAGAAAGGCUGAAGGGGAUGCUAAAGGAGACAAAACCAAUGUGAAGGAGGAGCCACAGAGAAGAUCUGCAAGGUUGUCUGCUAAACCUGCACCUCCAAAGCCAGAGCCCAAACCUAAAAAGGCCCCUGCAGAGAAGGGAGAGAAGGUACUGAAGGGGAAGAAGGGGAAAGCUGGACCUGGUAAGGAUGUGAAUAAUCCUGCAGAAAAUGGAGAUGCCAAAACAGAUCAGGCACAGAAAGCUGAAGGUGCAGGAGAUGCCAAGUGACGUGUGUGUGCAUUUUUGUUAACUGUGUACUUCUGGUGACUGUACAGUUUGAAAUACUAUUUUUUAUCAAGUUUUAUAAAAAUGCAGAAUUUCGUUUUACUUUUUUUUUUUUUUAAUGCUAUAUUGUUAGCACACAAAACACUUCAUUACUGGGUGGGGGAAGGAUCAUGUGUCAAUAACAAAAUCGCUCCCAAGCAGGAUUGAGGGCAGAAAUCCUCUUUCCUUGAUAAUUUUGAAAGGCUCCUGUUGUCUCCCAGGAGAUAUAUCCUGGUCUUGACCUAGGUGGCCACCAAGGCACAAUAAUGCCUUGUGGUCUGGGAAAACUAUAAAUUCAUUUUUAUAUCCUCUUCCCCCUGUACUGUCAACAUAGAAUUAAUUCCCUUAAAAACCAGAGACCUGUUGGAACCUGGCCCCCAAAAUUGGUUUCCCAGUCUA
Mus pahari (shrew mouse) is the source of this 729-nucleotide RNA transcript. It is a transcript of the gene named non-histone chromosomal protein HMG-17 pseudogene, with no coding region annotated. Lineage: Eukaryota; Metazoa; Chordata; Mammalia; Rodentia; Muridae. The record is from RefSeq and is a predicted model, not a curated record. The transcript has a single exon.